GUUUUUAGGACUUCUUGCCCACCAUUAAUCGCGGGUUUGGGGACUGAGAAAGACAAAGACCAUUUGCUCGGGCGAGGCCAGGGAAAGGAAGGGGCGGCCCCUCCCCAGCGACGGCCCAUGCCCCAUGGCUGGACGGCACCUCGCUCUCUUUUUACGCCACAUCGCCGUCCAGCGAUCGCUAUUGCCGUGCGAAUUUGAUUACUGCGGAGCCGGUGACCCCCCGCAGCUCCGCCCAGUUAUCAACCGAUUUCAAUGGGGGCAGGCAGGGCGCAGUCACCGGUACAGCCUAGGUGGGUGGGUGGUGGUUGUGGUCAUCCGCGGGUUAUCGACGACGACGAGCCGCUGAAAGCAAAGCCGCCGCCGCCUCCCUCCGCCGUACUUCUUGAAGAAGUCCUUCGAGGUGUAGCCCCUCCCCAGGCCCCUGCCGCGCAGCGGCGGGCGGGGCGGCGAGGGGGCGUUCCCGUCGCCGCCUCCCCCGCCUCCGCCUCCUCCGCGCCCGGUGGGAGGGGAGGAGGGGCUCGUCGCCGUCGUCGUCGGCGGGAGCCACCACAGGUCGACCGAGCUGAGGCAGGGCUGCGCCGGGGGAGGGGGCUGCGGGGGCGGGGGGCGCCUCCGCCUCCCCAGCCGCAGGCGCAGCGGCCCACCCCUCCUGUCCGCCGGUAGCCCCGGCCACCCGCUCUCCUCCGCGCGUGUCCUCCUCCCUUACCUCGCCUCCGAGAGCGUCCUCCCGCUCGCCGCCGCUAGCGCCCUCCUCCUGCGCCACCUCCUCGCCCAGUAGUCCCUCAGCAGGCUCCGCCUCCUCUCCUUCGCCCUCUCCCUCUUCCUCCUCCUGCUGGAGCUCCUCAAGGUCGACGUCGAGCACGACCUCUACUCGCGGGCCCUGUUGGGGCUCCUUUACCUCUAGCUCCAGCGGUUCGUCUACUCGGACCCGAAGGCGGCGGGGCGCUCGAGGGAGCGACUCCAGGAGCGCCGGGCUAUGACCUUAAAGAUGCGGGAACCGAUACUACUGUUUUAUUGUCUACCGAAAAUACUAGAGAUGCAGUAACCCUUACCCGGCCGUAGCUAUUUGUACGGGAGAGACUCACUUGACGCUCGUGUCGGUCAAAGUGUAUUAUCACAGUUGACCCUUUGACAUAACCAAGUGUCUCCACUUCUAGGACUCGAAUACUUUGAACUCGUCUUCCGGAGUUAGUAACGACAACUUGAAGCUAGCUCUUUAAGUCUUAAACAACCGUUACAAAACUAAGUCUUUGAACGAUUAAAUCAAAGAUUGGUGUACCCACCUGAUUAUAAACUAGGACUCUUGUGCAGCUCUUUUAUGGUCUUAUACUAGUCUAGGGACUCUCGUGCAUAACCUUCACAUCAACACGGAGAACCGGUUAAUUUUUGACCAGAUCGAGCAGUAGCGCGCGACGAUAAAUUCCAAAACCGACUAUCGGAACUAUAGGGAACAGCUGAGGACUUUCCUUCCGUCAUGUGACCUAGCCUACUACCUCGAAACUUGUAACACUUUAUACUGCUACCUUCCCUUAAGUAGCAACUAGAGCACUGUCUAGGACCGUGUCAAUAAGGAAGUCUCCCACGACAAAACAGAUGUCUUAAACUUCUGACAAGGAUGAGUCUAUUGGUAGUCAAUUCGUUUCGACUAUGCCGGUUAGUGAACCCUAGAAGAGUGUCACCUCAGAGUUUAAGACGUACACUAAGGAAACUCAUACUCGAUGAACUGUCUUCUAGCUGUAGUUCGUUGCAACCAGGAAGACUAUGUCUACCUCGGCGCUGAUCAGUUUGUUCGUUAGUUGUUUUAUGCUAUUCAAGAAAACUUUUAAAUAGCCAAUCGUGUAAGGGUUCACUUUUAUUUGGAGAAUAGUUACUUUCAUCUCCGUGUCUUCUUCGCCACCGUGGUUUCUUGUUUCUUUUUGGUCAACCACGUUUAUUGAGAGACAGUUCAAGUGGAAGAAGGGGUCUUCACCCGUCGUGAUGCCCAAAGGCCUCCUACUUUCAUUUCCUAUAGAGUCUCAUGUACUAAGUACGACGGUCCCUUUUAGGUGUCAAUCGUGCCUUUUAGGUACUCCAGAAUGAACUUUUACCUCAUCACCGUGGCGGACUGAACAAAAGUCUUCUAAGUUACCUCCUCGGUUUCCUAGAUUAACACACACUACGGUGGGAUAAAGUUUCGUUCCUACUUUACUUUUCCUCUUACUUACUCCAACCUAGUUCCCUUAUACGACUAGCACCAGUACCGGGUAGUGACAGAGUAGCAGGACCCGUACUUGAGGUUAGUUUUCAACAUGGAGUGGCGCGUGAAGACCUGAGUGAAUUUGGACAGCUCCCAAACCCAUAUAUGGUGGUAGGCCUAUAGGCACUAUUGUGUAGAGGGAUAAAAAGAGUAAUACUUGGAAGCCGUGGAGGGGUCCUUUGAGGCAGUGUCGAGAGUUUCGUUAACGGACAGUGCCGACGACGACAACGUUGACGACGUCACCAUCGCAGAAGCUACCAACAGCGUCGGCGUUUUAGAUUGUCACUAUACUUUAAACUACACGGGCAACGUCGACGUCGGUGGCAAUGGCGUCGACGUCAACAACGUUGUUGACGACGACAAUCGUUCGUUAUACUUGUGAGCCUCGGACCAUUAGUCGAUGAAUCAAAUGGUUCGUGUAGACUUGCUUUACUUAGUCAACUUUUUCGACGUCUACUGAAAACCCUAUUUGUCGUGUGACUUUAACCAGUACCGGUUCUAUUACGAGAUCUAGUUCUUUCCCUAAGACGACUUCAAGGAGCCCUUCGACUUUCUUGGAGUCUAUUUAGUUCGCCCUGUCUUUCACGUUUUAGACUUCAAUGUGAUCUGCUACAACGUCUCAAACUCUACGUCAACCUUCUUUAGCGUUAGCCCCUUGCCUAACCGGAACCUAGUAAACCUCUUCAAAUAUCUCCACUUACCGUACCUUGUCUUCAACGUCAGUUCUUCAAAAACGUUGUUCUAUAAAGCUCGCUACGAGACCUACUUAAAUUUCGACUCCACGCUUAUUACUUCGCCAAUGCAGUAGGAUUACAACAAGAAAAGUACCCACGAUAGUGAGCCCACGGAUUAGAAAGGUAACAGUGGCUUAAAGAAGGUUCUCCAUCGAACAAGGCCAACUAAGUAGCUGGAUUGUUGGACAACCUACUUUUCUCCGCCAAUUCUUACCGUGAACUACACCGUGCUCCAUACUUAAUAGACGUAUUAACGUGUGGUCAAUAUCAGGUAUCUCUGGACUUUAGAGGUUUAGAUGACCAACUGUUCUUGACCCAACACUUCCAAACACUAAAACCGGAUAGUUCUUACUUCUUGUUAUGGAAGGAUAGUAGUUCUAGUUGUCGACCUUGUCGGCUCACCUACCGUGGCCUUCAAGAUGCAUUACUUGGUAGUCUACUCUUUACGCUACAGAAAUCAAUGCCACAGUAUGACACCCUUGAAACAUGCGAUGUUGUCGGAACCCUUCCAUACUUGCGUUACGUUCAGCAACCUCGUCAACCCAAAGUCUCAGCGGCGGAACUAUAAGGUCUGUUGCAGCUGGGGCGGCAUCGUCUCUAGUAUUGUUCUACGACCGUCUGCCUGGGUUCCCGCGCCGGAAGUAAACGCCUCUAGUACCGACGUAAUUUUGGUAAUGACUUCGGGCAUGGGCGCUUGGUUCGUGGUUCCGUCUCUCAUGUCGUCCGUCUCCCCAUCUCUUUUUGCUUCUAAUCGUCGACGGGUUGCAGGUAUGGAUGUCCUUAACAAAAAACAUGUCAAUGUGGUUUACGCACACGUCUCAUUUCUCGCACGCACUACAACCAGGCAAACGAAAGGACAUUUCUACAUUCAAGCAGGGUUGUCACCGUACUCGGCAUAAUUCGGGCGGACAGUAGCUAGGUAAGUGCUUCUGCCUGUGACAGUCUGGUACAUUGUCAACUUGUUCCUUGACUGCACCGCCCGCCUUGUCCCCCGAAACGAGUAUGGUAGAGAGGAGGAGAGGAGGUAAAGGGAGAACACAAAGCAUUGUCAACUUGUUCCUUGACUGCACCGCCCGCCUUGUCCCCCGAAACGAGUAUGGUAGAGAGGAGGAGAGGAGGUAAAGGGAGAACACAAAGGUGGUUUACCACCGAUAUACACGGUUGUGUACAUUACAUUACGACAGUCCACAGUCAGUCUUGGUUUUCCUUCUUUUUCUACUUUUCGAACAAGUCAAACACUAGACAAGGCCAAGGGUCCAAGACCACAAAGUGACGUAUGAGAGUGGACGAAGACACGACGAUAAAUGUCCGUUGUUCAGCACGCAGCACGGCAAACGACGUGUAGAGCUGCCAGCAGUCCGCCGCCGUUUACCUCGCUCUCUUUGGUAGCCAGGAGCGGUCAGCGGCGCUAGGAGCCCGCCCCUUUUCUCCUGCGCGCGACGAAGGCGUGGGUAGAGGCGAACUGGCUAAGGGUCGGUACCUUUGAGGGGCUCGCCGGGCGCGCUAGGAGAAAGAAGAAGGGCACGAUCGGCUAGGGUAAGCUGGGGAGAGGCCUCGGAGGGCGUCUGCGCCUGCUUGCACGCGUGCCCUACCGCUCGUAGAAGACCCCGCCGCGGGUCCGGCUGCUCCACCGGCUGAAGCUGCUCGUGCUGGGGUGGGGGAUGCCGCCGCCGAUGCUGUAGUGGGAGUGGAAGCCGGCGCGGGAGGGCGGGAGGCUGCUCUAGACGAUGGGGUAGAGGUGGCGGAGGUGGAGCAGCAGUAGCAUGCUGUCGGUGCCGCGCCGGCUCGUCGUGGCGUCCUCCGGCGUCCUGGUCCUGUCGGUGCCGAGGCGCCCCGUGCCCUCCUCCGGCCUCCUCAGUGUGCCGAGGCGACGACCAAUGCCCGUGCCCUCCUUCCGCGUGCUGCUGCUGCUGCUGCUGCCACCACGCAUGGCCUUCGGUUUCGGCAGGGUGCCGCUGCUGCUGCUGGCCGGGUCGAUGCCGGCGUUCUUCUUACUGCUGCUGCUGCUGCUACUCUCCGCCAGCGCCAUGUUCUUCGCGCUGCUGCUGCUGCUACUACUCUCCUUCGGUGCCGUGUUCUUCACGCUGCUACUGCUGCUGCUGCUGGUACUCUCCUCCGGCGCGAUGUUCUUUGCACUACUGCUGCUGCUACUGCUGCUACUGUCUUUCGGCGCAAUGUUCUUCGCGCUACUGCUGCUGCUGCUACUACUAUCCUUCGGUGCAAUGUUCGUGCUACUACUACUCCUGCUGCUGCUACUAUCCUUCGUCGCAGCGCCCUUGUUGGCGGCGGCGGUGCUAAUGCUACUAACUAGUUCCGUAGUACUGUACUCAAAUCGACUGCGAUUAUUCGUAUCAACGCCGCCGAAACGUAGCUACUUAGAGGUAAAGGAUAAAAAAAAGUUCGUAAAAAGUAAACCGAUAAGUGGCCAGUGGUACGAGGUUAGCAUACGAGCUCGAAGAGAACCUUAUUUUACACGUCAAACUGGACAAACACAAGAUUAUACUACUAAAAGGG
RNAcentral lists this ribosomal RNA (5484 nucleotides) under Triticum aestivum (bread wheat). Its description in RNAcentral is "partial small subunit ribosomal RNA". The record is from RNAcentral. Lineage: Eukaryota; Viridiplantae; Streptophyta; Magnoliopsida; Poales; Poaceae.